Molecule: non-coding RNA, 4284 nt
Organism: Ictidomys tridecemlineatus (thirteen-lined ground squirrel)
Lineage: Eukaryota; Metazoa; Chordata; Mammalia; Rodentia; Sciuridae
Source: RefSeq, a predicted model, not a curated record
CUCUGAACCUGGGUGUUAGUGCUGGUCUUGGAGGUGAGUGUCUCCUUUCUUCCAGGCUCCUGCCUCUUCCCUUGCCCCUUUCUCCAUCUCCUCUCCCAGAAGGCUCAGGGUUUCACUCAGUCAGACGGUGUCCUUGCCAGGGGCCACUUUUGGAGUCCUGCUGGAAACUUAUGUCUGUCUGUGCACUGUGUACUGGCAUAUGCAUGUGCAAGUGUGCUGCUGUGGGUAUCAAGUUAAAGGCAGGGUCAGGUCAGGGCAUUCUCAUGGUCACUGUAUCCUGCAGGAUUGUGAUAUGACUGAUGACAAAUGCCUAUAAUGUCUGGGACUGACCAUGAUGGAGACAUUUAAGAAAUUCAUGUCAUUGAGAUGUGUCAGGUGAUAUGAUCUUGACCUCUGAUCUGUCUUUGAUGGUGAUAUGACUGAGCUGAUCCAUGCUGAUGCAAGUGGCUGUGCGUUUGUAUUACCUGACUGCCAUGUGUAGAGUUGGCACAGGACAGAGGGAUGGGCUUUUUGGAUAUUUCAGGCUUGACAGCUGUGUGAGUACCCUUUGUCAUUCCCUUGUCUGUCCCUAGUCUUGUUCAGAGAGUCAGAGCAAGAGGCAGCAUCCCUGCUCCCCCGACGGAGCCUGGAAGAACCUCUGUCCCUGGAGGCUGGGCUAGGCUGCAUCCCUGAUUCAGUGGGCAGGCAGAGCUGGCUUAGCUUCUGCCUGCCUUAGCCUCAUCCAGCCAGAUGCCUCCAAGCAAGACCAGCUCCUCCCACUAGGUCCUUUCCUUUUCCUCCUCCUCUUGCUUCUUUUCAGCCAGACCUUGACUGUGUUUGCAGUAUGGGGGACACCCUGAACCCUGGACAGAGUAAUCACAGAGAGAGCAGCCCUUUUCUUUGCCCCUUGGAGGCUUCCAGAGGAAGUGACUACUAUGACAGGAACCUGGCACUGUUUGAGGAGGAACUGGACAUUCGCCCAAAGGUGUCAUCUCUUCUGGGCAAGCUUGUCAGCUAUACCAACCUCACCCAGGGCGCCAAGGAGCAUGAGGAGGCUGAGAGUGGAGAAGGCUCCCGUCGGAGAGCAGCCAAGGCACCCAGCAUGGGCACACUCAUGGGGGUGUACCUGCCCUGCCUGCAAAAUAUCUUUGGGGUCAUCCUCUUCCUGCGGCUGACCUGGAUGGUGGGCACAGCCGGGGUGCUACAGGCCCUCCUUAUUGUCCUCAUCUGCUGCUGCUGUACACUGCUGACAGCUAUCUCCAUGAGUGCCAUCGCCACCAACGGUGUGGUUCCAGCUGGAGGCUCCUAUUUCAUGAUCUCCCGCUCACUGGGUCCAGAAUUUGGAGGUGCUGUGGGCUUGUGCUUCUAUCUGGGAACAACAUUUGCGGCAGCUAUGUAUAUCCUGGGGGCCAUUGAGAUCUUGCUGACCUACAUUGCUCCACCAGCCGCCAUUUUUUACCCAUCAGGCUCUCAUGACACGUCAAGCGCCACCUUGAAUAAUAUGCGAGUAUAUGGGACCAUUUUUCUGACUUUCAUGACACUGGUGGUAUUUGUUGGUGUCAAGUAUGUGAACAAAUUUGCCUCACUCUUCCUGGCCUGUGUGAUUAUCUCCAUCUUCUCUAUCUAUGCUGGGGGCAUCAAGUCCAUUUUUGACCCUCCCGUGUUUCCGGUGUGCAUGCUGGGUAACAGGACCCUGUCCCGGGACCAGUUUGAUGUUUGCGCCAAGACGGUUGUGUUGGACAAUGAGACAGUGGCCACCCGGCUGUGGAGUUUCUUCUGCCACAGCCCCAACCUUACUACUGACUCCUGUGACCCCUACUUCCUGCUCAACAAUGUGACGGAGAUCCCUGGCAUUCCCGGGGCAGCUGCUGGUGUGCUCCAGGAGAACUUGUGGAGUGCCUACCUGGAGAAGGGAGAGUUCGUGGAGAAGCGAGGUCUGCCCUCCACAGACGCCCUUGGCCUGAAGGAGAGCCUGCCCCUGUAUGUGGUAGCUGAUAUCGCCACAUCCUUCACUGUGCUGGUUGGCAUCUUCUUCCCCUCUGUAACAGGCAUCAUGGCUGGCUCAAACCGCUCCGGGGACCUCCGUGAUGCCCAGAAAUCCAUCCCGGUGGGAACCAUUCUGGCCAUCGUUACAACCUCGCUUGUGUACUUCAGCAGUGUGGUUCUCUUCGGCGCCUGCAUUGAGGGUGUAGUGCUCCGAGACAAGUAUGGCGACGGUGUCAGCAGGAACCUGGUGGUGGGCACAUUGGCCUGGCCUUCGCCCUGGGUCAUCGUUGUUGGCUCUUUCUUCUCAACAUGUGGUGCUGGCCUCCAGAGUCUUACUGGGGCACCUCGUCUAUUGCAGGCCAUUGCCAAGGACAACAUCAUCCCCUUCCUCCGGGUGUUCGGCCAUGGGAAAGCAAAUGGUGAACCAACGUGGGCACUCCUCCUGACUGCACUCAUUGCUGAGCUGGGCAUCCUCAUUGCCUCCCUCGACAUGGUGGCCCCCAUUCUAUCCAUGUUCUUUCUGAUGUGUUACCUAUUUGUGAACCUGGCCUGUGCUGUACAGACACUCCUGAGGACCCCCAACUGGCGGCCCCGGUUCAAAUACUAUCAUUGGGCGCUGUCCUUCCUGGGCAUGAGCCUCUGCCUGGCCCUUAUGUUUGUUUCCUCCUGGUACUAUGCUCUGGUUGCCAUGCUCAUCGCAGGCAUGAUCUACAAGUACAUCGAGUACCAAGGGGCUGAGAAGGAAUGGGGUGAUGGGAUCAGAGGCCUAUCCCUGAGUGCUGCCCGCUAUGCGCUGUUGAGGCUGGAAGAGGGGCCUCCUCAUACCAAGAACUGGCGGCCUCAGCUCCUGGUGCUGUUAAAGCUGGAUGAAGACCUUCAUGUGAAGUACCCACGACUCCUCACCUUUGCCUCUCAGCUUAAGGCUGGCAAGGGCCUGACGAUUGUUGGCUCCGUCAUCCAGGGCAGCUUCUUGGAGAGCUAUGGCGAGGCCCAGGCUGCUGAGCAGACAAUCAAGAACAUGAUGGAGAUUGAGAAAGUGAAAGGCUUCUGUCAGGUAGUGGUGGCCAGCAAGGUGCGUGAGGGGCUGGCCCACCUCAUCCAGUCUUGUGGCCUGGGUGGCAUGAGGCAUAACACCGUGGUGCUGGGCUGGCCCUAUGGUUGGCGACAGAGUGAGGACCCACGUGCCUGGAAGACCUUUAUUGACACAGUGCGCUGCACCACAGCUGCCCACUUGGCCCUGCUUGUGCCCAAGAACAUUGCCUUCUACCCCAGCAACCACGAGCGCUACCUGGAGGGCCACAUCGAUGUGUGGUGGAUUGUACAUGACGGUGGCAUGCUCAUGCUUUUGCCCUUCCUGCUGCGCCAACAUAAGGUUUGGAGAAAGUGCAGGAUGCGCAUCUUCACGGUUGCCCAGAUGGAUGACAACAGCAUCCAGAUGAAGAAGGAUCUGGCCAUCUUCCUAUACCACCUCCGCCUUGAGGCAGAGGUGGAGGUGGUAGAGAUGCAUAAUAGCGACAUAUCUGCAUAUACCUAUGAGCGCACACUGAUGAUGGAGCAGCGGUCCCAGAUGCUGCGGCAAAUGAGGCUGACCAAGACUGAGAGGGAACGUGAAGGACCAGUCCAACGUGCGGCGUAUGCACACUGCUGUGAAGCUCAAUGAAGUUAUUGUCACACGAUCCCAUGAUGCCCGCCUAGUCCUACUGAACAUGCCUGGCCCACCCAAGAACAGUGAAGGUGAUGAGAACUACAUGGAGUUCCUUGAAGUACUGACUGAGGGCCUUGAACGGGUGCUGUUGGUGCGUGGUGGUGGUCGUGAAGUCAUUACCAUCUAUUCCUGAGCCCAGUGUGGUCUUAUGGCCUAGAGUGGGGGUAUCCAAGGCAAUAGCCCCCACCUGAGCACCUACUUGCCAGUUCUGCUUUGCCCAGCCUUGCCUUGGGCCAGCUUUGCUAGGUCUCCUGGGAAACCAGGUCUGGGCCUGGCAACGGAGAUGGAUUUGAGUUCCUGUGGGACCCUGGGAGGUGUGGGGACUUUCCUCUCCAAUACCCCAGUAGGAUGCCCUGGCUAAAGACGACCCGGUGGGGGCUGAUGUGGGUUUUAAGGCCCAGCCCAGCCCAAGAGCACUAUUUAUUGUAUAUUUAUUGUUUGGAUGUCACCAUUUGGGAGAAGGGGAAGGGCAGAAAGGGCGGGGGUUGAACUCAUCCUGCUUGCAGGAAGACCUGGCUCAGACUACUGUGGGCAGGGACCCCCAUUAAGCCAAGAGGAAUGGAGCUGGCCGAGCUAAGGCCUGACUUUCUUCAAUAAAACAUUGUGUACUCUGG